This is a long non-coding RNA of Lontra canadensis (Northern American river otter), 1132 nucleotides long. RefSeq lists it as uncharacterized. The transcript is spliced from 3 exons. The record is from RefSeq and is a predicted model, not a curated record. Lineage: Eukaryota; Metazoa; Chordata; Mammalia; Carnivora; Mustelidae.
AAGGGACCCAUCCAAGAAUAAGAUGGUGUCCAGUGGGGCAGAGCUGGCUGUGUCCUCUGAGAACGCAAGGAAGCACGAGCACGAGAAAAAUGCCUGGGCUCAGAUCCCAGUGAACUCGUCUGCUUCUCCUUGAACGUUUUGCAAUAUCAUCUAUGCUGGAAAUGAUCAUUUAAAGCCACAGUCUAGCAUAAUGUUUACAUCCCGAGGGUUGGAACUGGAGUCAUUAAGUCUUUCAAACAACAAGGACUUUCUCCAGAAUACCUACUUGAUAAAGCUUCUUGACUGACUGUGCUUAUUUGUAAUCUCUGCUCACAACUGGGUCCUUGACAAAACCUACUAUAAACUUCUCCACUAUCAAUUAUACAUAAAAAAUGUGGGUGAAAUGAUGGAGAAGAAUUCAACAAAUAGCAUUGCUCAUAAUGGAGAGAAGAUUCUACCUUCUACAAUAUGUAAUUUGAUGAAAUAUGCUAAGCAAGGUUGGGAGAAAAUGGAACCAUUAUUUGUUGUCUGAGCUCCUGGAUCACCCGCUACCACUUGCUUAUCUCUACUGGGCUCAAGCUUUUCCUGUGGCAUGCCCCCUGUUCAUCUACCUCUCUGCCUCCCCCAUGGUUUGCUGGAUGCUCCCGGUGAGCCUGGUAUCCCGAAGGAUGUUCGUAUCCGCUGUGGUUGGGUGCUCUCAGCUUUCUGCUUGGCCUUGGGCAAAGCCACGGUACACUCCAACUCCUCAGCUCUGGCCCCAAUGCCUUGAGCUUGAAUACAAAUAACCUUGGAGUGGGAAGCUUUUCUACUCAACUACAGACAUAGCUGAAGAGAUUUUGCUUUAGUGAAAUGAAGUGGAGCCUGAAUUUAUCUGGAAAUGUGUGGAAUCAGCAGAGAGCAGUAAACACAAGUCUAGGGAAGUGGGAAACCAUUGUGAACGAUUUCGUGUUUUUCACUCCCAGCGGGCAUUUGGGCAUUAUUGUAAAGAACCAUGUUUUCAAACCUGCCAAUAACAGAACAGAUCUUUAUUCAUUGUGGAUGAGGCUUCCACUGGGAGAGUUGAAGCUCUCGUUCCUUUUUCGCCAACUAGAGAAGCUCUUCAGAGUUCCAAGCUUCUGUUUUCUGACUCCCAUGCCAUAAAGGGAGAUGUUAG